AUUGAACGCUGGCGGCAUGCUUUACACAUGCAAGUCGAACGGUAACAGGGUGCUUGCACCGCUGACGAGUGGCGAACGGGUGAGUAAUGCGUCGGAACGUGCCGAGUAGUGGGGGAUAACGCAGCGAAAGUUGUGCUAAUACCGCAUACGUACUGAGGUAGAAAGUGGGGGACCUUCGGGCCUCACGCUAUUCGAGCGGCCGACGUCUGAUUAGCUAGUAGGUGAGGUAAAGGCUCACCUAGGCGACGAUCAGUAGCGGGUCUGAGAGGAUGAUCCGCCACACUUGGACUGAGACACGGCCCAGACUCCUACGGGAGGCAGCAGUGGGGAAUUUUGGACAAUGGGCGAAAGCCUGAUUCAGCCAUGCCGCGUGUCUGAAGAAGGCCUUCGGGUUGUAAUGGACUUUUGUCAGGGAGGAAAUCCCUAGUGCUAAUAACACUGGGGGAUGACAGUACCUGAAGAAUAAGCACCGGCUAACUACGUGCCAGCCGCCGCGGUAA
This 500-nucleotide ribosomal RNA is filed under the name uncultured bacterium. RNAcentral describes it as "partial 16S ribosomal RNA". It matches the Rfam family "Bacterial small subunit ribosomal RNA", at positions 30 to 523 of the family's 1533-position model. The record is from RNAcentral.